CAUGAAGAUGAGGGGGAAAGUAACCCAGAAGCCUGGGACAGAGGAGAGAUCAGUCUCAAAGGGCUUCGCACACAAGAUGGAGUCCUAUCUCUGAUAUCCGUGUUUAAAAGAAAAGAGAGAAAAAAAGCUGGGCGUGGGUCCACAGUUCGUGUUUUCCACCAGAGUGUCAGACACUGCUACAUGCCAGAGCAGCAUGGGAAACAGCAGGAUCUGGGACAAAUGCCGUGUUUCCCUGUCUCGUCUCUGGGUACCCAGGUGCCACCAGGAUUCCACCAGGAGAGGAAGUCAGAAACCGGUCUGAGGUCCACCUUUCCCCUUGGAGCAUCUGCACGCCAGGCAGGAAGGGGAAGGCAGAGCCUAGGAUGAGAGGGAUCCUGCCUGAUUUGGAGCAAGUUCCUUACCAUACCUGAAGGACUAGAGAAGAGAAAAGCCCUCCUUCAGGAGUCUUAGAUGUGGCUCUUUUAGGCAAAGGGUCUCCCCCAUGGAAAUUUUUUAAUGAAGCAGCUCUCUGAGACGA
Molecule: non-coding RNA, 517 nt
Organism: Rattus norvegicus (Norway rat)
Lineage: Eukaryota; Metazoa; Chordata; Mammalia; Rodentia; Muridae
Source: RefSeq, a predicted model, not a curated record